This 478-nucleotide ribosomal RNA is filed under the name uncultured bacterium. RNAcentral's name for it is "partial 16S ribosomal RNA". It matches the Rfam family "Bacterial small subunit ribosomal RNA", at positions 28 to 507 of the family's 1533-position model. The record is from RNAcentral.
GAUGAACGCUGGCGGCGUGCUUAACACAUGCAAGUCGAACGAGAAGUGGAGACGGAAACCUUCGGGCGGAAGACUUUACUUCGAGUGGCGGACGGGUGAGUAACGCGUGGGUAACCUGCCUCAUACAGGGGGAUAACAGUUGGAAACGACUGUUAAUACCGCAUCAGACCACAGCACCGCAUGGUGCGGGGGUAAAAACUCCGGUGGUAUGAGAUGGACCCGCGUUCGAUUAGCCAGUUGGCGGGGUAACGGCCCACCAAAGCGACGAUCGAUAGCCGAGCUGAGAGGAUGACCGGCCACAUUGGGACUGAGACACGGCCCAAACUCCUACGGGAGGCAGCAGUGGGGAAUAUUGCACAAUGGGGGAAACCCUGAUGCAGCGACGCCGCGUGAGUGAAGAAGUAUUUCGGUAUGUAAAGCUCUAUCAGCAGGGAAGAAAAUGACAGUACCUGAGGAAGAAGCCCCGGCUAACUACGUG